RNAcentral lists this transfer RNA (71 nucleotides) under Maccaffertium mediopunctatum. RNAcentral's name for it is "tRNA-Val". It matches the Rfam family "tRNA". From Rfam's summary of the family: Transfer RNA (tRNA) molecules are approximately 80 nucleotides in length. Lineage: Eukaryota; Metazoa; Arthropoda; Insecta; Ephemeroptera; Heptageniidae. The record is from RNAcentral.
CAAGGUAAAGCUUAAUUAGUCAAGCGUCUCACUUACACUGAGAGGAAGUCGUGCAAUUCGAUGUACUUUGA